RNAcentral lists this ribosomal RNA (466 nucleotides) under Vreelandella stevensii. RNAcentral describes it as "partial 16S ribosomal RNA". It matches the Rfam family "Bacterial small subunit ribosomal RNA", at positions 337 to 795 of the family's 1533-position model. The record is from RNAcentral. Lineage: Bacteria; Pseudomonadati; Pseudomonadota; Gammaproteobacteria; Oceanospirillales; Halomonadaceae.
GCCUACGGGGGGCAGCAGUGGGGAAUAUUGGACAAUGGGGGGAACCCUGAUCCAGCCAUGCCGCGUGUGUGAAGAAGGCCCUCGGGUUGUAAAGCACUUUCAGUGAGGAAGAACGCCUGGUGGUUAAUACCCAUCAGGAAAGACAUCACUCACAGAAGAAGCACCGGCUAACUCCGUGCCAGCAGCCGCGGUAAUACGGAGGGUGCGAGCGUUAAUCGGAAUUACUGGGCGUAAAGCGCGCGUAGGUGGCUUGAUAAGCCGGUUGUGAAAGCCCCGGGCUCAACCUGGGAACGGCAUCCGGAACUGUCAAGCUAGAGUGCAGGAGAGGAAGGUAGAAUUCCCGGUGUAGCGGUGAAAUGCGUAGAGAUCGGGAGGAAUACCAGUGGCGAAGGCGGCCUUCUGGACUGACACUGACACUGAGGUGCGAAAGCGUGGGUAGCAAACAGGAUUAGAUACCCUAGUAGUC